GGAUAUGCAAAUUGAUGCGGUACGUUUCAAACCUCUUACUGAGCAAGAAAAGUCUCGUCGUCGACAAGAAGGAUUGUGCUUAUAUUGUGGAGAACCUAAGCACACUGCUCAACAUUGUCCAAAGAAGCGACGUAACUACAAAAUGAGGAGUACGGCUGUCAAAGAAGACAGUAUGUCGGAAAACGAGUACAUCCAGCUACAAUAGGGACCGUGCGGCUGGAACCUUGUACAACUUCUAAUGAAGGUCCUAUCCUCUCCUCAGAACCAUCUCCUUGUUUUAUAAUAGAUGUGCGUUUAGGACCUAAUAAUUACAAAGCCUCUGCCUUGAUAGAUUCAGGAGCCUCAGCUUGUUUUUUAGAUGAAGAAUUUGCUAGAUGUCAUAGAAUAUCAUUAAUACAAAAAACUAAACCUGUACACGUAGAAGUCAUAGAAAAUCGUCCGUCGUCUUCUAGAGAUAUAACUCACGAAAUAAGUCCUGUAGAUGUAGUAAUAAAUGGUCAUAGUAGUUGCGUAAUUUUUAAUAUAAUUAGAUCUCCCUCUAAUCCAGUAAUAUUAGGCUUAUCAUGGUUAGAAAAGUAUAAUCCUCGAAUAGAUUGGAUUUCUCGUAAACUUGAUUUUCCUCAGAGCAUUAGUAACAGUUCUAUUAAUCAAGUAAAAAACCAUGAGUCUAGUAUAGUAAAACCCACACUUAUAGGUGCAAAAGCAUUUAUACAUGCAGCAAAAGAAGGAUCAACUUUUGCUAUUUAUGCUGCACCUAUUUCUGAAAGCGUAAAGACUUCAAGUGGCAUUCCAAGUCAAUAUCAGGAUUAUCAAGACGUUUUUGAGAAAAAGAAUGCAGAUAUUCUUCCUGAGCAUCGCCCAUACGAUUGUUCAAUCGAUCUCAAGGAAGGAACUCAGCCACCAUUUGGACCAAUUUACAGUUUAUCGCAAGAUGAGUUGGCUGAACUCAAGACAUAUAUUGACGAGAAUUUAGCGAAGAAUUUCAUACGCCAUUCAAAAUCUCCAGCAGGAGCUCCAAUUUUAUUCGUAAAGAAAAAAGAUGGAUCUUUACAAAUGUGUGUUGACUAUCGAGGACUCAACAAGAUCACAAUCAAGAACAGGUAUCCAUUACCUUUGAUAUCAGGACUCCUUGACCAGUUAAAUCAAGCUAAGAUCUAUACAAAAAUAGAUCUAAGAGGAGCAUAUAAUCUAGUACGGAUCAAAGAAGGAGAUGAAUGGAAGACUGCGUUUCGAACCAGGUACGGACACUUUGAAUACAAUGUCAUGCCUUUUGGACUCACGAAUGCACCAGCUGCUUUUCAACAUCUCAUGAAUGAUGUAUUUCGUGAAUUCUUAGACAAUUUUGUCGUCUGCUACCUAGACGAUAUCCUGAUUUAUUCUAAGAAUGUUGAAGAACAUGAAAUACAUGUUCGUCAAGUAUUACAAAAACUUAGAGAUGCAGGAUUGUACGCCAAGAUAGAAAAGUGUGUAUUUCACACUACUCAAGUUGACUUUUUAGGAUACAUCAUUUCAAAUGAUGGUCUUAUGAUGGAUUCUAAGAAUGUCCAAACAAUCAUGGAUUGGAAGAUUCCAAAGACUGUAAGAGAUGUCCAAUGUUUCCUGGGAUUUGCCAAUUACUAUCGGAUCUUCAUCAAAGACUUCUCACGAGUUGCAGCUCCACUUACACGCUUGACUAGUAAAGAUAAAUUCCAAUGGAAUCAAGAAGCGGAAGCAGCAUUUGAAGCCUUGAAGACAUCGUUUGUCUCUGCACCAGUCUUAUAUCGUGUUGAUUUUUCCAAGGUAUUUUUUAUGGAAACAGACGCAUCGGAUUUUGCCUUGGGUGCAGUUUUAUCACAAAUGGGAACAGAUGACAAACUUCAUCUGAUAGCUUUUCAUUCAAGAAAAUUUUUAGCAGCCGAGAUCAAUUAUGAGAUCCACGAUAAAGAACUUCUUGCAAUCGUGGAUUCUUUUCAAGAAUGGCGUCAUUAUCUAGAAGGUGCUUCUAGUCCAGUCAUUGUGUAUACAGAUCACAAGAACCUCGAGUAUUUCAUGUUAGUACGCGUGUUGAAUCGUCGUCAAGCUCGUUGGAGUAUGUCUUUGUCAAGAUUCGACUUCAUUAUCACUUAUCGGCCAGGAAAACAACAAGGUUUGUCUGAUGCCCUGUCUAGACGUUCUUAUUUUGUACCAAAAGAAGGAGAUGCAGCUUUUGAGCAACAAAGAACAGUCCUCUUGAAACCGGAGCAAUUUCAUCUCCGAGCAGUGAAAUCAACACUGACUGUUGAUUCAACUUUUCUCAAGCAAAUCCAGUCCAGUAUGUCCUCAGACCCUCUUGUUCAUGAUAUCGAGAAUAAUUCUUCCAAGUCUCAUGAUUCUUCUAAGUUCGAGUUCAAGAAUAAUCUAUUAUAUUUUGAAGGACGCCUAUAUGUUCCAGAAGGAAAAGCACGUUUGCGUGUUCUUCAAGCACGUCAUAACUUUCCAGCAGCAGGUCACUUUGGAUAUAAUAAGACUCUGGAACUCAUAUCAAGAGAUUUUUGGUGGCCACAAAUGUGGAAGUCAGUCAAAGACUUUGUACAAUCAUGUGAUAUUUGUUCAAGAUCAAAAAUUCCUCGACAUCGACCUUACGGACUUCUUCAGCCAUUACCUAUACCAGAACAACCAUGGUCUUCUGUUUCUAUGGAUUUCAUCACAGAUCUUCCAAACUCAAGAUCUUAUGAUUCUAUAUUUGUGAUAGUAGAUCGUUUCACCAAGAUGGCACAUUUUAUGCCAUGUACAAAAUCUAUCACAGGUGAAGAAACAGCUAAGCUUUUCAUUGAUAAUAUCUAUCGCUAUCAUGGAUUACUUAAAGAUAUCAUAUCGGAUAGGGGAACUCAAUUUGUGUCGAGAUUCUGGAGGACUCUUUUCAAGAUUUUAAAAGUGGACAUAAAGCUAUCUUCAGCUUUCCAUCCUCAAACUGAUGGACAAACAGAGCGCGUAAACCAAGUCUUGGAACAGUAUUUAAGGUGUACCAUCAACUACCAACAAGAUGAUUGGACAAUCCUUCUGCCAUUGGCAGAGUUUGCUUAUAAUAAUACAGUACAUUCUUCCACGCAACAAACACCUUUCUUUGCCAAUUAUGGCUAUCAUCCACGACUUGAUACUUUUGAUUUUUCAAAAGUUGAUAAUCCUGCAGCAGAAGAUAUGGCAAAUCGGUUGUCAGAGUUACAUGCAAUAAUGAAGGCGCAGUUGAAGAAAGCUCAAGAACGACAAAAGAUAAAUGCAGAUGUAUAUCGUAAAGAGCAACCACAACUCAACGUGGGUGAUAAGGUAUGGCUACUUCGUCGCAAUAUCAAGACCACUCGACCUUGUGACAAAUUGGACUAUCGUAGGCUUGGCCCCUUUUCUGUUUCUGAACAGAUCAACCCAGUUGCAUAUCGGUUACAUCUACCGGAGUCAAUGAAGAUCCAUCCUGUAUUCCACGUGUCUCUUCUUGAACCAUAUAAGAGAGUGGAUAUACAAGGAAGAAGACAAAUGCCACCGCCUCCUAUAGAAGUAGAUAAUAAUGAAGAAUUUGAGGUGGAAGAGAUAUUAGACUCAAGGCGGCGCCGAAAUAAGCUGGAAUAUCUUGUUCAUUGGCGCGGAUAUGAUAUUAGUGAGCGCACAUGGGAGCCAUCCAGGAAUCUAGCAAAUGCAUCAGCUAAAGUCAAAGUUUUUCAUCAACGACAUCCAUCAAAACCAAGAUGAAAACCUCUCUUAUAAAAGAGACAAGAUUGAGGCAAGAUAACAUUCAAUUUCCUAUCCUUGUUUGUAACUUCUUUGCAUUUGUGACGCUAAUUAGAUGGAGAGCCAACAACUAGUGGAUUCAACUCAAGAACCUUCGUUUGCUGACUUAUCGGAUGAGACAUUGCGAUUGUCACAACCUUCAAGACGACGCAACCGAGAUGAAGAUCCUCAAGAACGACAUGUUCUUCCUCGAAUAGAUGGUGAGAUACAACGCAUUUGGUAUCACGACCUUGGAAGAGAUUCUCGAUGUUUGGUGAUAUUAUUGGAGAUAGGAACGACUCCUGAUGGUGUUUCAAAUGUAUUAUUUGAAGGAAGUUAUGAAGGCCUCAACAGUGAUCAAAUAACAGGGUGGUCUUCUCGCCCUGGAAUAGGACACUAUCGAUGGCUAAGAGGACCCAUCAACUAUCUUCGAAGAGAACAAAGAUCAGAGUAUGUAGCAAAUACAAUUCGCCGCAUAUUAGAUUUUCUCAAUAUAUAAUCACCGCUCCUCGUGGAACUCGUCCCUAGAAGGGGGGGUAAUGUCACGGACAUACAUAUAAUUACCUAUAUGAAUAGAUAAAAGUAUGUAAAAGUAGAUAAAAGUAGGUUAAUUGUGUAAUAUCUUCUAGAGAAGCUUCUUAGAAGCUUCAUAGACGCUGCUUUGACUUUAUUGGAAUCUAUAGUUGACUUUUAGGCUAGAAACUUGGUCAACAAGUUAGCCAUGUGCCACACAUGUUGGAAGCUUAAAGAACAAGCUAACUACGUGGUCCAUCCAUAGAAAACUUGCCUUGUAAGCAAAGGCAUGUGGCCUAGAAAGUCAACAUAUAUUGGAGGUCUUAUAGAACAUCGCCAUGUGGCUUCUAGUUAGAUAGUAUAUAUAGAGGCAAGAGUGAAGCCCUCUUCACUCUUGUCAACUCCUUUCUUGCUUCUAGUCUAGUUUCAAGGGUCUCUAGUUUUCUUGUAUUUUGGCAAUAGCCAUUCCAGUUUCUUUCUUAAUAUACAUAUUUCUAUUUUGUCCUAUUUCUUUUUUGAGAAAAGUCUCACUUACUCUUUAGCUUUCAUCGAGUUCUUGUCCUUGACAGAGCAACGGAAGAUCGACGACUAGAUUUGGAGGAAGCAUUUUCUCGGCUACACAUUCUACUUACUGUAUAGUGAAUUCUAAGAUUGGGUGAAGGAGUUAUGAGGCGUUGAAGACAGCACUUGUAAUUUGAAGGCAGUAAGUAUAUCGUUUUGUUGCUAGUUAUGGGUGAAGCCAUAUCUUGAGUUUCUGGACGAAUUUUUGGCUCAAAAUUUCCACAAGUGUGUGUAAUUGGGUUAAAAAGCUUUAGAUCAAAGUUUCAUAGUAUUUGAAUAAUUAAUUUGUGAGAUAUAAAGGAAGUUGUACACGGGUGUAAAAAAGCUAGGGUUUGAAGCUACAGUUAGGGUUUUCAAGAUAUCACAAAAUCCAAGACGAAUUUACGGUUGAAUUUUGGUGUGGUAGUUGCUAAAGAUAUAUCAGUACUCUAUGUAAAAUUUGGAGUUGUUUAGACGGUUAGAUCGUAAGUUAUGAGCUGUUGAACUUCAGAAAAAAUUCCUCAUAAGGAUAUAUAAGUUUUUUAUAACACCUUAUCAAGUAUUUUGGUGUUCUUUGGAUUUUAAGGCUUGUAUAUUGAUUUAAUUGCUCCAAAAGAGAGGAGUUUAUAUAUAUAAAAUUGUUACCCUUAUAUUUCAAACUUGAUUGAGUAUUUAGUGACAGCCAGAAGCCCAGCGCUUUCUUGAGGCAAACUCUCUCUACCUCGACAUAUUUGGUGCUUCCACUGAGAGAGCCUUAAGGCACUAAAAUUCUCAAUAAGUUAGAAUGGGGGAUCAAGUUCCAGGGUUUGGAUUACCAAGUGGAGUAGGUGCUCAUGAUUUAUUCAGGGCAUUUGCUCAAUUUAUGGAAGAAAGGUAACAGGUGCAUGGGGAGGAUAAGAAUACCACCAAAGCUUUACAAGUAGUGGUGGAUAAGGUUGGGAGGUUUGAUGGGAGGAACAUCACUAAGUUCCUCAGGGUUCAUACAUGUGAAAUGGAAGUGCAUCAGGUUUCAGAAGUAAAGAUGAUUUCUACCUUUGAUUUGGUAGUGGUACCAGAAAUCAGAGAGAGGGUGCAAGAGUUGCAUACUGAGACUAUAUCAUGGAAGAAAUUUGAAGAACUCUUGAAAGAUGAGUUUUUUGAGGAGGAUUCAGAAAGAAUGACAAAACAAACUUUUUUGGAUAGGAUAUAGCAAAGGCCAGGGAAUCAAAUGGCUCCCAAUGAAUUAAUCAGGGAAUUUGAGGCUAAGUUUGGACAGUUACCACGACAAGAGAGGUAGCUUUUGGAAACAAGGAAGAGUGGAUUGUUUUUACAAGCAGCUGAUGAACAUUUGGAGGAUAAGCUACUCUUUUAUCUAGCAGACAAGACAUCUGAGAGUGGUUUUACUAAUGAUUGGAAGCUAGUAAAAGAGACAGUGGGGCUUUUGGCUAGGCAACAAAAGAUUAAGACUCGUGGAUUAUUACCAAGGUUGGAGCCAAUGCGUGCAUCUCAAAAUCUAAUGCCACCUCAAAACAGAAUCAAGACUGUUAAGGAUGGUACUCUUGAAGAACUAAUUAAGGGCAUACAAGACUUGAAGGUGGAAAUGAUUGAAUUGAAGAAAUCCCAGAUGGCAAGCUCAUCAAAGACAAUUGAAGGCUCAAAGAGAUUUAUAGAAAGAUGUAUGUGGUGUGACAAUCAAAACCAUAAGCGUGGUGAGUGUGAUAGCUAUAAGGCUGCAAUCAAGGAUGGUAUUGUGUAUUUCAAAGAGGGUAGGAUAAGACUCACAGGGUCAGAUGAGCCUCUAAAGACUAAUUUUGGGAAGGGUGGCAUGAAAAAAUUAGUAGAGGAGCAAACAUCAAAGAAUAGUGCCAUAAAAGGGGAAGGAGCUGAGUCUUAUUCUAUUACAGUUGAACAAAAGGGAGUUAAGGCUGUUUCUUUGCCAACUAAAGGAGUCAUGAUGAGGGGAGCUGAAGCUAUCAGAAAGAAAACUGGGUGGAAUGAUCCAGUUGAUGCUAUUAGCAUUAAAGCAGAUUUGUGUGGAGACAAGCAUGAUGAUGAUAUGCAUGAUGCUAUGGUUGAGGAAAAAAGAGGUAGAACUAUUCAUGAAGAGGAUGUUAUUGAGCCUGAAAACAAGAGGAGGUCUCCAAGAAAUAAAGAAGCUUCUAAGGAGCAAAAAACUGAGAAGGUAUCUUCUUCUACUCAUCAUGGUAGUGCACCAUUACCAAAAGAGUGGUGGGAGAAGGACAAAGAAAAGGAGAAAGAAGAUACAAGCAAACCUAAAGGUAAAACUCCUGCUUAUAAACUUCAAUCUGAGAUUGAAUCAUCUACAGAUAUGAAGAGUAUUUUAGAAGAGAAGAUCUUGGAUGCAAAGAUUGAAUUCACUCUAAGAGAGGCUCUAGGCAUAGCCAAGAAGGAUUUUCAUGAAUUAAUCAUCAAUGUGAUAAAGAAGAAGAGGCAAAUGAUAGCAGAAGCUAUUAUGGUAGAGGCAUUGGAUACUUGGAUAACUGUGGAUGAAGAAGAAGAGAUAGGACAGGUAUUUGCACAAUUUACAAUGCCUGAAACUAGAAAUAAGGUUGAUAUGGAAAACAAGGUUUCAUUUAAACAUGUUGAAGGUAAAAGAGAGCAUCAAGUGGAAUGCACACCUUUGGGAUUUACAGGGAUAAGGAAGGAUGCACAAGAAGUAAGUGUUAAUACUUGCUCCAAAUGUGAAAAUGAGGGAAUAGAGAGUAGUAGUUAUUCAGUUCCUUAUUGGGCUAGAGCUACUACAGAAACAUAUGUGAGAUUGGGGGACUUUAAAGAUCCAAUUUUGGCCCUGGUUGAUCAUGGAUCUGAAAUCAACAUCAUGUCAAGGAAGAUAUAUGAGAAGAAUAAGUGGCCAAUUGAUAUCAACCAUGGUUGGGUAAUCAGAGCUGCAAACAAUCAACAAGGUGAUUUACAUGGAACUUAUCCAGCUGUAAAGACUAGAAUUGGAGAUGUAGAAGUGGAACAAAAUUUCUUUGUGUAAAACUCUGCUACAUAUCCGGUAAUACUUGGUCAACCUUAUAUUACAGCUGCUAGAAUGGAGACUAGAGUCUUGAAUGAUGGUUCACAUUAUGCCAGAAUUCAAAAUUGGGAUGGGAGAAAAGUUGUGCAAUUUAUUACUGUGAAACCUAUCCAUGAGAGAUACAGAGAAUAAUUAAGAGGGAUGCCCUUGGAGCCAGGAAAUAACUUUGUGGAUUUCUAAAAAGCACCCUUGUAAGAUAGGGGCACAUGGGUGCAAAUGAUUCAUCUACAAACCCCAGUGUAGAUAGUAUGAGUUUUGGAUUUUUGAACUUAUCUAGUAAUGGAUUUGUGAGUGUUCAAAAGGUUAAAGAUUUAGAUUCUAUAAAUAAAAAAAAUGGUAAAGAAACAAGAGAAGAACUUAAAAAGAGUGGGUUUAGUUUCAAGUGAUGAAGCCAUAGUUGGAGUAAUAGAAGAAAUAGGUUUGGAAGAUGAUUUGGUAAAGGUUUUGGAGAAUCUGGCUAUAAACAUAGAUGGAGAUGCUAUAGUAGAAAUAUAUUCAAGAAGGACUUAUGAAGGAUUAGAAAGGAUGGUAGCAAAUGGUGGACUUGCUACAAACUAUGGGUUGAAGCAUGAGGCUAGAGUACAAACUAAAUAUAAAACUGUGGCAAGAAAGGUAAAGCCUGUAGCUACACAAUUACCAGUUGAUAAUAUGGAGCAUAUUAAACAAGCAGUUAUGGAGCCAAGUCUAAGAGAGAGGCGUCAAAUUGGACAUCAAUUUAUACAAGAAUCAUUAGCUAAGUUGAAGAUUGGAGGGGGUGACUUCUUAACAUCAACGGAGGAAGAUAUGUUUCAAGAAAUGCUUAUUAGACAUGGUAAGGCAUUUGCCUUAACUCUUGAUGAAAUCAGAUGUGUGGAUCCUAGUAUUAUAGUACCUAUGGUAAUCUUUACAGUGCCACAUGUUCUAUGGGAUUUAAAGCCUAUACCUGUGCCUAGAGCUUUACUUCCAAAAUUGAUAGAAUUAUUAAAGAGAAGGUGAAGAUGGGUAUUUUGGAACCUUCAAUUGCUCCCUAUUCUAAUAGAUGGUUCACAGUACCCAAGAAGUCACAGGCAUUAAGGUUUAUUCAGGAUAUACAACUUGCAAACAGGGUGACUAUUCGAAAUAUGGGAUCAGGUCCCAUAGUAGAUGAAGUGGCUGAACAAUUUGCAGGUCAUGCCAUUUAUUCUAUUGGAGACUUAUAUUCUGGAUAUGACCAAUUUCAAUUGGCUAAAGAGAGUAGAGAUUUAACUACCAUGAAGACUCCUUUGGGUUUAAUGAGGAUGUGUACGCUACCUCAAGGUGCAACCAACUCAGUGGCUCAUAUGCAAAAUGCUAUGAACCAAAUAUUAAAAGAAUUUGUACCUGAGAAAACCAUUCCAUUUCUAGAUGAUAUACCUAUAAAAGAAGAUAAAAAAGAAGACAAGGAUGAGACUACGGAGGUUGAAGGUUGUAGAAAGUUUGUGAAGAAACAUAUUGAAGAUGUGGCUCAGAUAUUGGAGAGAUUGGAGUCAGUUAAUCUCACGUUAUCUUUAGAGAAAUCAAGCUUUGGAGUUGAUGAGAUUCUAGUGGUGGGGCACAUGUGUGGCAGGUAUGGUAGGAAACCAAAUCCUGAUAAGAUUGAUGCUAUAUCUAGAAUUGAGGCUUGUAAAAAUGUUACAGAAGACAGAAGGUUUUUAGGAGCAUGUGUAUUCUAUCACAUUUGGGUGCUACACUUUGCCCAUAUCUCAGAGCCACUAUAUAAGUUAUUAAGGAAGGGUAAGAAAUUUGUAUGGGAAGAAGAACAAGAAACAGCUAUGGAAAAUCUAAAAAAAAUGUUGAGUUCACCACCUUUGCUUAAACAAGUGGAUUAUCAAUGUGAAAGAUCAGUAGUUGUAACAGUGGAUACAAGCCCUAUAGCAAUUGGAUGGGCUAUUGGACAAAAUGAUGUAGAGGGAAGAAGAUUUAUUAUAAGGUUUGGAGCUAGGAUUCUUACAAAGAGACAAAGGGCUUAUCCACAAGUUAAAAGAGAGCUUUGGGGAGCGCUUACAGCAUUAAAGGCUGAGAGAAAUUAUUUGAUUGGAGCAAGUAUGGUUUUGGAAACAGAUUUUUUGCCAUUACUUUGAAUGAUAAUUAAAUGUACUACUCCAGAUAUUGCCAUGCUAAGAUGGAUAGCCUAUAUAAGGAUAUUAAACCCUGUUUUGGUACAUAUUACUGGUAAAGAGAACUUGGUGGCAGAUAUGUUGUCCAGAGCUAGAUAUACAUUUGAAGAAGAGAUGAUGGCAUAUGAAAGAGGUGAAGAUGAAGAAGAGAAGAAUUAUGGAAGUUCAUUUGCUACUGGUGGAAUGGAUUUUGGUGACAAGGUUCAAAAUUUCUAUGAAGGUACAUAUGAAGGCAAGUUGAAGGAUAUUGGAAUUUAUUUAAGCACAAUGAAAAAACAAGAAGGGUGGAUGGACAAAACCUUCAAAGAUAUUAGACACCAAUCCUAUGGUUAUAUACUCAGGGAUGGAUUUCUAUGGAAGAGGCCAAAAAGAGGUGACAAAAUCCCAUUGAGAGUUAUAGGAGAUCUUGAAACUAAAAUUAAGAUUUUAAGAGAAUAUCAUGAUACACUUUGGGCAGGACAUAGAGGAGUUUGGGCCACAUAUACUAAGAUCAAAGAAAGGUAUUGGUGGAAGGGUUUAUACAAAGAUGUAGAAGACUUUGUAAGUUCAUGCACAGAGUGCCAACUACAAUCUAAGAUUAGGUAUAGAGAUGGAUUACAUCCUACUUAUCCACCUUCUAUACAUUUUCAAUGGGUAAUUGAUUUGGUAGCUAUGCCUUCAGGAUUAUGGGAUAUGAAAUAUUUGAUUUUAGCAAGAGAAAAGUUAUCAAACUAUGUUGAAGGAAGAGCUUUGAGAACCAAGACCACGGAAGCAAUAUGCAGGUUUAUAUUAGAAGACAUCUUCAGUAGAUAUGGCUAUAUUGGGAGGAUGAGAGCUGAUAGAGGAGAAUUGGAUGCCAUAGAAGCAAGAGAUUUUUUCAAAAGGUAUGGAGUUCAAUUGAAGUUGACUACUUCUUAUAAUCCUGAAGCCAAUGGAAAGAGUGAAAGAGAUCAUCCUCCAAUUAUUUAUGCAUUGGUUAAGGCAUGUAAGGGUAAAUCAAUUCAAUGGCCUAAACUGCUUUCAUUUGCUUUAUGGGCUGAUAGAACUACUCAUAGUACUGUCACUAGUUAUAUGCCUAUGGAAUUAAUGCUAGGACAAAAACCUAUAAUGCCUGUUGAAGCAACCUAUCCUACAUGGAUGUUUUUGUCUUGGGAAGAUAACAUUAAUAGAGAAAGGUUAUUAGAGCUUCGAAUCCAACAGUUAAGAAGAUUACUUGAGGACCUACAAAUUGCAGCUGAGAGGUUAAAAGAAGCAAGAUUAAAAAAUAAAGAGAGGUUUGAUAAGACUCAUAGGUUAAGGCCUAAACCUAUAGAGAUUGGAGAUUGGGUUCUAGUUUAUGAUAGCAGCCUUGAGCAUCAACAUAGUACUGUAAAGAAAUUUGCAAAAAAAUAGAUUGGACCAUAUGUGGUGGUUAUAGUCCAUGAUAAUGCCACAUAUACCUUACGAAAGUUAGAUGGAGCUAUCAUUAGAAUUCCAAUAGCAAUGAAGAGGGUGAAGGCUUUCAAAAGAAGAGAUGGGCGGUUUCAAAUAGAAGAUCUUGAAGAAUUCUUACCUCAAUAUUUGGACCAAGAACAUGAAGAAGAAGACUCUAUGAGUGAUUCUAAGAAGUCUCAAGAGGAUGAAGAAGAGUAGUAUGUGGCACAUACCGGAGGAUGUGCAGGUUUGGAGGGGGUGGAUGUCGUACUGUAAUUACUUACAGUAUGUAAAAAUUAGUGAAAACAUGUAAUAAGUUUGUAAGUCUUAAUGUGAGUUAGAAUAGUUAGUAUGUUAAUUUAAAAUGAAUUGAAAUAAGAAAAAUUAUUUGGAAGUUAAUCUAGUUUGAUCAUAGAGUUUAUAUUAUAUAGGAUUUAGAUAGUUAGUAUAAAGAUUAAGGGAAGGGAGGAGUUAAAAGAUGAAAAUAUAACUAGAAGGAGGCUUAUUGGGAAGGAUGAAAGUAAGGCAUGGUUGGAUGAAGGCAAGGGGUGAAGAACUUCAUCCCUAUUGGUCGAAAACCAUGCCCAAUGGGCUUUGAGGGGGCUGCCCGAGGCCAUAUUAGGAAUUAGGGUUCCUCUUUCGAGGCCAUUCGAGCUUUUGAGGCUAGAGUCAGAAGGUUUAGGGUUUUGGGUAUAAUUUGGGUGAAGAUUUUGUGUGAUUUCGAGUUUUUAUGGAAAAGAUAUGAAUGUUCAAAGAUAAGGUGUCAAUUUCGUACCUACUGUCACUUCUUUUGGGCAUCACAUACGAAUACGGAGAGCAACGGAAGAUCGACGACUAGAUUUGGAGGAAGCAUUUUCUCGGCUACACAUUCUACUUACUGUAUAGUGAAUUCUAAGAUUGGGUGAAGGUGUUAUGAGGCGUUGAAGACAGCACUUGUACUUUGAAGGCAGUAAGUAUAUCGUUUUGUUGCUAGUUAUGGGUGAAGCCAUAUCUUGAGUUUCUGGACGAAUUUUUGGCUCAAAAUUUCCACAAGUGUGUGUAAUUGGGUUAAAAAGCUUUAGAUCAAAGUUUCAUAGUAUUUGAAUAAUUAAUUUGUGAGAUAUAAAGGAAGUUGUACACGGGUGUAAAAAAGCUAGGGUUUGAAGCUAUAGUUAGGGUUUUCAAGAUAUCACAAAAUCCAAGACGAAUUUACGGUUGAAUUUUGGUGUGGUAGUUGCUAAAGAUAUAUCAGUACUCUAUGUAAAAUUUGGAGUUGUUUAGACGGUUAGAUCGUAAGUUAUGAGCUGUUGAACUUCAGAAAAAAUUCCUCAUAAGGAUAUAUAAGUUUUUUAUAACACCUUAUCAAGUAUUUUGGUGUUCUUUGGAUUUUAAGGCUUGUAUAUUGAUGUAAUUGCUCCAAAGGAGAGGAGUUUAUAUAUAUAAAAUUGUUACCCUUAUAUUUCAAACUUGAUUGAGUAUUUAGUGACAGCCAGAAGCCCAGCGCUUUCUUGAGGCAAACUCUCUCUACCCCGACACUGUACUGCAUAUAAAAUUACUACCAAUGCUACCCCUUUCCAAUUGGUUUAUGGCCAGGAAGUAAUAUGAUCUAUUGAAUUGGAAGUCCAAAUUUUAUGAAUUGCUAUAGAUACUAGAUUAAGAGAUCAGGAUUCAUUACAAUACCGUUUAGAAGAAUUAGAAAAAUUUGAUGAAACUAGAGCCAAUGAAUUAAUGAUAAUAGAAACGAUACAAAAACAAAGGAAGACUUAUUAUGAUAGUAAGCUUAAACUAAAGGCUUUUAUGCCAAAUGAUUUGGUACUUCUUUAUGAUAGUCGAUUUAAAAAAUUUCCAAGAAAAUUUCAAGUUCGAUGAUAUGGGCCAUAUUGAGUUAUUGAAGGAUUUUCAAAUGGUUCAAUAUAAUUGGAAGAUUUUAUGGUACUAAGUUUACGACACGGAUCAAUGGCAAUCGGCUUAAACUUUACUAUCCUUAAACCCAGGAUGGGUUUAUGUUCCAAAAAGGGGAGUCGACUUUAUUGAUUGGACCAUAGUAAGAAGUAAGAGGAGGGCUCUUGAGAAGCAUCGUGUUUUCUUAUGUGGUUAAGGAGAAGAUGGCAAACAUGGUAUCUGAGACAGUAAGGAUGGAGAACGAUUGAAAGGAUCCGCAAGAACAGUUGCAAGUAGAGUUGCGGUGUUACAAAUUAAACUAGCUGCAUUAGUGAAGGAGGCGAAUAAAUUAGUGCAGAUCAAUACACCAGUUCCAGCGAUAAUACCUUUGGAGAUACCUUUGAAACCGACAGAAGAAUGGCAGAAGAUGUAAGAGGAGCAUGACAACCAAAUUGUCUGAUGUGAGUCUCAGGUAUGGAAAUUAGAUUUGUUGAAUGAAAUUCUGACGGCACGUUUGGAUGGAGAACCCUCGAAUAUUGAGACAGAUGAUAAAGAUAUAACACAGGAGAAUGUCACCAAUUCAAAGUGUGGUAAGCCAAUGCCAUUGACAGAAGAAGCCAACACUGCUAUGUCUUUAGAAGUUGAGGCUAAAUAAUGUUUGCGAGGAAGCUGCACAAUUAGAAGUGGCGCUAUGUAAAAUAGGUAAAUAAACUUUGUGAUAAGUUACUGGUUGGUUAUUAACAAUCUUGAGAAUUAGAUUGAUAUUUAGGCAGUUAAGUUGGUAAUAAUAGGUUAUUAGUAGAAUAAAUGAUUAAGAAUUCAAAGGGUCAUAACCUUUGAAAUCUGCUAGCUGACAGAUCAUCUUUUUGGUAGGAUAAAUAGAAUGAGAAUCGUAAGCCAAGAGCCAGAUUGUGAGAGUUGUAAGUCGAGAGCUAAAUUAUGAGAGUCGUAAGUCAAGAGCCAAACUGUGAGAGUCAUAAGCCGUAAGCCAGACUGUGAGCAUCGUAAGCCAGGGUAAGCUUGGUGCUACAUCUUUGUUUUCUUCAUAAUUUGCUUAUGAAGAAUUAUGAUUGACAGAAGUAUUGUUGAAUUGAUGAUCGUAGAAUGAAUUAUGGGUAGAAUUAAGAUGGAAGUAGUAAGCCUCGAUAUUUUAUAGUUUGAUACUUGAUUUCAGAUAGCUAGAAUAAAGUCAAUUAUGACACUCACAGACCCAAUUCAUAUAACUAGUCUUUCACUGUAUUCGAACCCACUUCUAUUAGUUCAAUUUCUUUGGUAUACUGAAGCUUUAAUGCAAUAAGAACAAUACGGAUAUUCACAUGUAAGCCAAUAAUCACAUGUAUAAAUAGAUAGAAGUAAGUAAAAAUAGGUAAAAAUAAAUUAAUUCUAUAGUAUUUAUUAUAAAAGCUUCCUAGAAGCUUCAUAAACACAGCUUUGACUUUAUAGGUGUCUUUAAUUGACUUUUUGGAUUAGAAACAUGGUCAACAAGUUGGCCAUGUGCCAUACAUAUUAUAAGCUUGAAGACUAAGCUAAUUAUGUGGCUCACAUGUCGAAAAACUUAUCUUCUAAGUCAAGGCAUGUGUCCUACAAAGUCAACACAUAUUGGAGGUCCUAUGGAAUUUCACCACGUAGCCCCUAGUUAGAUAGUAUAUAUAGAGACAAGAGUGAAGCCUUCUUCACUCUUGUCAAUUCUUUUCUUGCUUCCAGUUUAGUUUCAAGGGUCUCUAGUUUUCUUGAAUUUUUGGCAAUAGCCAUUCCAGUUUCUUUCUUAAUAUAUAUAUCAAGUCAUUUCUAUUUUGUCAUCUUUCUUUGAGAGAAGUCUCACUUUUUUAUUUGUCUUCAUCAUGUUCUUAUCCUUGACAGAUUCACAAGAGUACACUUACAAUAUCAGAGCUUUAUCUUUUUUUGAUUAACAGUGGAUUAUCCCUUUUUAUUGAUAAGACAUAAGCAUAUUAAGAGUUGCGGAUUACCUUCUUUUAAACUGAUAUUAUUUUUAGUAUUUUCUUUGUUCUCAAGUCCGUUCUCUUACUUGUCUUGAGCAAUAUUAGAAAUUUUUUUUUCUAGGUGUUAUCAUGGCAAAGCUUGUCAAAUUGAAGAGUAUAAUGACACAAAUGCAAGAAUAAUUGAGGCAAUUAAUGCUUGUGAUGCAUCAACUUAAUUCACCAAGAGGAAGAAGAAUAAGAAUAACAGAAAGUGGAGAUGUAGAGAUGGUCAAAGCUGCCUCAACAUCUACAUUGAAUCAUGCCUCUUGUUCCAUGGUGGAACACCAUUCAAAUAGUAGAGAACCAAGAAUUACCUUAUCCAAGAAAUUUGAUGGUAUGAGAUCAAAGUUUCGAAGAUUCAUCAAUCAAGUACAAUUGACAAUCAAACUUCAAUCCCAAAGCUAUUCAACUCCAAGAUCACAAGUCAGGUUUAUUGGAAGACUACUUUUCGGUUCUGCGUUAUCAUCGUUUUUAUCUUUUCUUGAACCACAAGAUCCAAUAUUGGAUAAUUUCAAAGCUUUCUUGGUGGAAUUUUGAUCUAUGUAUAGAGAACAUGAUACAGUUCAUGUUGCAACAAAUAAGAUCCGUAUCUUGGGACAAAGAAAUCGAUCUGUAACAAUAUAUGCUUCAUAAUUUUGACAACUUACAAUUGAUACCAAGUCGGAUGAUAUUGCACUCAUUAACCAAUUCCUUCAUGGACUACAAUAUGAGGUAAAAAAAUUGAUGCUCAAGUUACCCGAUCCUGAAACAUUGAGUCAAGCAAUUGAUUUUGCUAUAAAAUGUGACAAUCGACUUUUUGAAUUUUGAUAUGAGAAUCACAUAAGUAGGCCUCAACAUUAAUACAAUUCAAUGGCAACACCUACGUCUUUCUAACACAUAUCUUCAAAAAUAAAAGAUAUGCAAAUCAAUACAAUAUAUUUCAAACAUCUUACUGAACAAGAAAAGACUCGUCGUCCUCAAGAAAGAUUAUGUUUAUAUUAUGGAGAACCAAAAUACACUGCUCAACAUUUUUCAAAAAAAUGACACAACCACAAAAUGAGGACUAUGGCUGUCAAAGAAGACAAUAUGUCUAAAACGAAUUUGUCUAGCUAUAAUAGGGACCGUUGUUGUGUUAUAACAUGAGUAUACUGUGAAAAUAUAAAGAAAGGGGACUUUUGUUAAUGUUCAAUUACCUCGAAUAUUGGGAGCAACAACCAAUUCCAGUGCAAGUACUAAGAGGUCAGGUUCAGUCACCCCGUUACAGUCAGAUGGGACUUACUAAAAUGCUCCAUUCGAUUCCAAUAAUGGGAGUCAGUAGAAAGGAAAAGGACCAAUUUAACGACGAGUGUGCCUGGUUCGAAGAGCCAAUUGGAUCCAAUUUCAAGACAUCGAAUCCAGGUCUUACUACGGGCCUCUUAGCCAAUCUGACGUGAAGGACCAAUUUGACCCAAUUACGGGAACAUCCAAGUCUUACGACGGGCCUCUUAGCCAAUAUGAGACCUGAAUUGGUCGAGCGACUCAAUGUGGUCCCGAUUACGGGGGUUCCGAUUCCGUUUCAGGUUGUUCCAUCUUUUGUGCCGUUCCGGGAACGUCCUUUCGAUAAAAGGAUCUCUUAAAGGUAAAAACGGGGCAGAAGCUCUGACGGCGGAGCCAAUUCCAGAUCCAAGACGGCGGAUUGAAGAAAUUCAGAGGCUAGGGUUUGAAAGACGGGAGAAUUAGGGUUAAAGGAGAGGAUAGGUUAAGAAAUAGAAGGGAAGAGAAAAGUUUUUUUAGAAGGGUCGGGGAGAGCUUCAGGCUUCGGGCAGGGAAAAAAGACAGAGGAUUGGGGUUUUUUUUCUUCAUAGGGUUUUUGAAAGACUGAGGCAAUCGCUGCUGAAGUCAGUGUUGUACUGGUGAAUCGGGAUUUUAAUGAAGUGGGUGUAAUUACUCUUGACUGUUUUAUGAAAUCGAGUUACGUCUGUGAUGAAGAAUUAAAAGGGUGUCUAAAGGAUUGAGUAUGCAGAAUGAAUGAAAUUUAUUGGAUUAAUGUAACGAGACAAUCAGUGGUUACAAGAUCGUGAGUAUAAAGCGGUAUCGAAGAUUAGCAGUUUGGGUUGUUCGGGAUUCUCCGUAACGUCUAGAGACCUACCGGCUGGAGCAAAAAGGAUUUCGACGAGCAGUUGAAGGACAUCCAUAUAGAUUUAUGAUAUAUUCUUAUAGUUAUUUAUAUUCCAACAGUCAAAAACCAAUAAACUACUUAAAUAUUAGCGAAUCUCCAUACUACCUUCUAUAGUCAAACGCCCGACACAUUCUUGAGUAAGAAAGCACGUAAUACGACAGAAGUGGUGAACUCGACGUGAAAGCUUAAGGUGGAAGGUAUUGGAUUUCGUUUGAUUCUAUUUUUAUUUUUAUGGAAAACGAAAAUAAAAAUUUUGAAGGAUCUUUAGGAGGAGUUUUUCGUGGGGAGUCUUCUAAAGGACAAGGUAUGUACAUGGAUCCGUCUAUUGCUAGUAUGUUUCAAGCCUUCUCAUUAUCAAUGCAGCAACAACAAAGCAAUGAUCGAAAGAAAGCUUUGGCAACCAAAGCAUUGCAAGCAGUGGUCAAUAAAAUUGAUCAAUUUGAUGGAAGGAAUAUUUUAAGGUAUUUAAGAUGUUAUAUUCGUGAAAUGGAAUUAAAUCGGAUUUUUGAGAAGAAAAUGGUUGAAUUAUUUGGAUUUGCCACGAUACCGGAGAUAGGAGACCAUAUUACAUCGAUUAUAGAUCGUUAUGGAAAUUCAUGGGAGGUUUUUUCACAUGCAUUGAAAGAUGAAUAUUUCUUGGAAGAUGCUGAUCGCAUUACUAAGAAGUUGUUUCUGGAAUGGAUUGAAUGGCCUAAUAAGAAUUUACAAGCAACAGAGCUACUAAUGGAAUUUGAGAGGCAGUACUCUCAAUUAUCGAAGGUAGAAAAAUUGACAUUGGAGUCGAACAAAGUUGAUCUAUUUCUACGAGCUGCUGAUGGAAAAUUGCAAGGAAAAUUAGAACUCCUUCUUAAAGAUAAAGAAGAAGAUGAAGGAUUGACAAUAAAGUGGAAGAACGUUGAUGAUGCGGUGGGGUUGCUUACAAAAAGAGAAAGGAGGAAGGAUAGGAGCAAUAUUCCAAAAACAGUACAAGCACCCAAAGCUCCAGUACGUACAACACCACCAACAAUGCCUACAGUUCAACCUUCGACAUCCUUAUCAAAGAAAGCAGAUAUGGAGAUGGAAGAAAUUAUACGAGGAAUGUGAGAUCUUCAAAUCAAAUUGGCAAGACUUGAAGAGAAUACUUCUGCAAAUAAUUUGAAGAAUUUUUCAAAACAAAGAUAUGUACAAAGAUGCAUUUGGUAUGAUGAUGCUUCAUACACUAGAAAAGAUUACAAUGAAUUUAAUAAUAUGAUACGACAAGGAAUUAUUUGCUAGAAAGAUGGAAAGAUAGCAUUAAAAGAUAGGGAGGAUCUUCUUCAAACCAAUUUUGGCAAGGGAGGAAUGAGAGCAUUGGUUCAAGAUUACUUAAAAGAGCAUGAAACAGCAGCACGAGAAAGUGCAAGUUAUGGUGCUAGAGUAGAUGACGACCUUGGUGGAAGUACGAAAACUAGUGAGUUUUGGACUUCUGCCAUUUUUAUAAUGUAAGAAGGGAAAUUACCUCGAGAAGCGUUAUUGAGGAUUGCAGCUACAAUACGAGGUGCAACAGGUUGGGAGGAUCUUGUUGAAUCUCUUUCAGUUCAUGCAUAUAUUGCUAAGAGCCAACAUGAAGCUUUGAUGGAAGAAAAGAGAUAAGGAAAUUUUGAUAAUACGAGAGAAGGAAAUUCUUCUAAGAGGCAAACUCGAGGAGACAAGGCUCGGGAGGCAGCUUCACAAGAAUUGUCUGUAAAGGAUACCUCAGCAUCAUUGGAAGAAAAAACAAUGGAGACAAAAGAUAAGAACAAAUCAAUUGCUUAUAAGCUACUUUCUGACAUUGAAGCGACAACAAAUUUGAAAGGGGUGUUGGAAGAACGUAUAUUAAAUGCUAAAGUGGAAUUCACAUUGAAAGAAGUCUUGAAAAUUGUAAAGAAGGAGUUUCAUGACGUUAUCAUUGAUAGCAUUAAGUGAAAAAAGCAAUUAAUGGACGGAACUGGAAUGAGUCAUGCUAUUGAUGCAAGAACAUAUAAAGAUGAAGAAGAGGUUGAUAUUGGUUAGAAGCAAGCAAAAAUUGAAAAGAAUGGAUAUAAUCAACGAGUACGUUUCGAAGAUUAUAGUGAUAAAGAAAUGGAAACUUUGAGUCAUUAUACUCAAAAGCAUUGGACAAGGGCAACUAUUGAGGUAUUGGUGAAAAUAGGAGAUAUAGAAGAACCAAUUGUUGCUUUAGUCGACCAUGGUUUUGAAAUAAAUCUCAUGUCUAAAGAUCUUUAUAAGGAGCAAAAAUGGCCAAUUGAUAUGGAACAUGGAUGGGCAAUAUGAGCAGCUAAUAACACAUGGGGCGAAUUAUAUGGAGCUUGUCCAGAUGUCAAAAUUUGGAUUGGAGAUGUUGCGAUAGAGCAACAUUUUUUUGUUCAAGAUACAACGUCUUAUCCAUUGAUUUUAGGACAACCUUAUAUUACGACAACUCGGAUGGAAAUAAAAGUAUUUGAUGAUGGUUCUGCUUAUGCAAGGGUACUUAGCAAAGAUGGGAGGAAAGCUGUACAAUUUCUAACAGUACCUCCUAAUCAUAAACGGAAUCGAGAUAGGUUGAGGGAGAAACCAUUGCCAAAGAUUGUUGAAGGAUUUAAGGAUUUCGAGAGGUACCACUGUAAAGCGAGAUUAUGGAGGUACAAAAGAGGAGGUACUCUCGCGAGAUGAAGGUGCCUUUGAUGCGAGUUUUAUUGAUAUUUUGGAGAAUAGAAAUAUUAUGUAUAAAAAAGUUGAUGAUUUUAAAAGAAAAGAAAGAAAAAGAUUAUAUGAUAUUGAAGGAGAAUUACGCAAGUUAGGUACGCAGCAAGAAGAUGAAAGUGAUUUAGAUAAUGAAGGUCACGAAGACGAACUGGAGAAAGAUGUAGAGAAUAUAUUCUAAAUCAAACAACAGUUGGAUAAAUUGGUGCAUACCGGAGGAUGUACAGGUUCAGAGGGGGUGGAUGUCGUGUUGUAACACGAAUAUAUCGUGAAAAUAUAAAGAAAGGGGACUUUUAUUAAUGUUCAAUUACCUCGAAUAUUGGGAGGAAUAACCAAUUCCAGUGCAAAUACUGAGAGGUCAGGUUCAAUCACCCCGUUACAGUCAGUCGGGACAUAUUGAAAUGCUUCGUUCGAUUCCGAUACUAGGAGUCAGUAGAAGAAAAAGGACUAAUUCAACGACGAAUGAGCCUGGUUUGAAGAGCCAAUUGGAUCCAAUUUCAAGACAUCUAAUCCAGGUCUUACUACAGGCUUCUUAGUCAAUCUGACGCCAAAGACCAAUUUGACCCAAUUACGGGAACAUCCAAGUCUUACUACGGGCCUCUUAGCCAAUAUGAGACCUGAAUUGGUUGGGCGACUCAAUGUGGUCCCGAUUAUGGAGGUUUCGAUUCUGUUUUAGGUUGUUCCAUCUUUUGUGUUGUUUCGGGAACGUCCUUUUGGUAAAAGGAUCUCUUAAAGGUAAAAACGGGGGAGAAGCUCUAAUGGCGGAGCCAAUUCUAGAUCGAAGACAAAAGAUUGAAGAAAUUCAGAGGCUAGGAUUUGAAAGAGGGGAGAAUUAGGGUUAAAGGAGAGGAUAGGUUAAGAAAUGGAAGGGAAGAGAAAAGUUUUUUUAGAAGGAUCGGGGAGAGCUUCAUACUUCGAGCAGAAAAAAAAGACAGAGGAUUGGGGUUUUUUUUCUUCAUAGGGUUUUUGAAAGACUGAGGCAAUCGUUGCUGAAGUCAGUGUUGUACUGGUGAAUCGGGAUUUAAAUGAAGUGGGUGUGAUUGCUCUUGACUAUUUUGUAAAAUCGAGUUACGUCUGUGAUGAAGAAUUAAAAGGGUGUCUAUAGGAUUGUAUAUGUAAAGUGAAUGAAAUUUAUUGGAUUAAUCUAACGAGACAGUCAAUGGUUACAAGAUCGUGACUAUAAAGCGGUAUCGAAGAUUAGCAGUUUGGGUUGUUCGAGGUUCUCUGUAACGUCUAGAGACCUACCGGUUGGGACAAAAAGGAUUUCGACGAGCAGUCGAAGGACAUCCAUAUAGAUUUACGAUAUAUUCUUAUAGUUGUUUAUAUUCCAACAAUCAAAAACCGAUAAACUGCUUGAAUAUUAGUGAAUCUCCAUACUACCUUCUACAGUUAGACGCCCGGCACGUUCUCGAGCAGAAAAGCACAUAAUAUGACACCGUGCAGCUGGAACCUUGCACAACAUCUAAUAAAGGUCUUAUUCUCUCCUCAAAACCCUCUCCUUGUUUUACAUUAAAUGUUAAUCUAGGACCUUUACAUUACAAAGCCUUUGCCUUGUUAGAUUAAAUGUUAUUCUAGGACCUUUACAUUACAAAGCCUUUGCCUUGUUACUAUUCAAGUCGAUUUCUUAGGUUACAUCAUUUCAAAUGAUGGACUUAUGAUGGAUCCUGAGAAAGUUCAAACUAUUAUAGAUUGAAAGAUCCCAAAAAUGGUAAGAGAUGUCCAAUGCUUUUUGGGAUUUGCCAACUACUAUUGGAUCUUCAUCAAAGACUUCUCUCAAGUUGCAGCUCUACUUACACGUUUGACUUGUAAAGACAAACUCCAAUGGAAUCAAGAAGUGUAAGUUGCUUUAGAAUCUUUGAAGACAGCGUUUCUUUUUGCACCAAUCUUGUAUCGUGUUGAUUUUUUUAAAGUAUUCUUUAUGGAAAUAAAUACAUCAAACUUUGCUCUAGGUACAAUUUUGUCACAAAUGGGAACUUAUGAUAAACUUUAUCCAGUAGCCUUUCAUUCAAAAAAAUUCUCAACUGCAGAAAUUAAUUAUGAAAUCCAUGACAAAGAACUUAUUGCAAUUGUGGAUUCCUUUCAAGGAUGGCGUCAUUAUCUAGAAGGCCUUUCCACUCCAAUCACCGUAUAUAUGGAUCAGAAGAACCUCGAGUAUUUCAUGUCAGCAUGCAUAUUAAAUCAUCGUCAAACUUGUUGGAGCAUGUCUUUAUCAAGAUUCGAGUUCAUCAUCACUUAUCGGCCAGGAAAACAACAAGGUUUGUCUGAUGCCUUGUCUAGACAUUCUUAUCUUGUACCAAAAGAAGGAGAUACAGCUUUUGAGCAACAAAGAAUGGUUCUCUUGAAAUCGGAGCAAUUUCAUCUUCGAGUAAUAAAAUCAACAUUGACUGUUGAUUUAACUUUUCUCAAGCAAGUCUAGUUAAGUAUGUCUUCAGACCCUCUUGUUCAUGAUAUCAAGAAUAAUUCUUCUAAAUCUCAUGAUCCCUCUAAAUUCAAGUUCAACAAUAACCUACUCUAUUUCAAAAGACGCCUUUAUGUUCCAGAACGAGAAGCAUAUUUAUGUAUUCUUCAAGCUCAUCACGACUUUCCAGCAGCAGGAUAUUUUGGAUACAGUAAGACUUUGGAGCUAAUAUCUAGGGAUUUUUGGUGGCCUCAAAUGUGAAAGGCAGUCAAAGGUUUUGUACAAUCAUGUGAUGUUUGCUCAAAAUCAAAAACUCCUCGUUAUCGACCUUUUAGACUUUUUCAGCCAUUACCUAUUCUAGAACAACCAUGGUCUUUUAUUUCUAUGGACUUUAUUACGGAUCUUCCAAUCUCAGGUUCUUAUGACUCUAUAUUUGUGAUAGUAGAUCAUUUUAUCAAGAUGGAAUAUUUUGUACCAUGUAUAAAAUCUAUCAUAGGUGAAGAAAUAGCUAAGCUCUUUCUUAAGAAUAUCUGUCGCUAUCAUGGAUUAUUCAAGGAUAUUAUAUUAGAUAGGGGAACUCAAUUUGUAUCAAGAUUUUCGCGGACUCUUUCCAAGAUUCUAAAAGUGGAUGUAAAACUAUCUUUGACAUUCCAUCCUCAAAUUGAUAGACAAACGGAACGUGUUAAUCAAGUUUUGGAGCAAUAUUUAACAUGUAAUAUUAACUACCAAGAAGAUGAUUGGACAACUCUUUUGCCAAUAGCAGAGUUUGCUUACAAUAAUACGAUACAUUCUUCUACAAAACAAAAAACUUUCUUUGGUAAUUAUGGUUAUCAUCCAUGACUUGAUACUUUUGACUUUUCAAAAGUUGGUAAUCUUGUUGCAAAAGAUUUGACAAUUCAUUUAUCAAAGCUACAUGCAAUGAUGAAGGCGUAGUUAAAAGAAGCUCAAGAACAACAAAAGAUCAAUGUGGAUGUCUAUCAAAAGGAACAACCACCAUUUCACAUGGAUGAUAAGGUAUGGUUACUUUGUUGCAAUAUCAAGACCACUCGUCCUUGUGACAAGUUGGACUAUCAAAGGCUUGAACCAUUUUUUAUUUUUGCUCAAAUCAAUCCAAUUACAUAUCGUUUACAUUUAUCGGAGUCAAUAAAAAUCCAUCUAGUAUUCCACAUGUUUCUUCUUGAACUCUGCAAGACAGUGGAUAUAUCAAGAAGAAGACAAGCUCUACCUCCUUCUAUAGAAGUGGACAAUAAUAAAGAGUUUGAAAUGGAAGAAGUCUUAGAUUCAACGCGGGGCCGUAAUAAAUUAGAAUAUCUUGUCCAUUGGUGUGGAUAUGAUAUUAGUGAACGUACAUAGGAGCCAGUAAAAAAUCUUAUAAAUGCAGCAAAGGUGGUGGAGGCUUUUCAUCAACGACAUCCAUCAAAAUCAAGAUAAAAAUCUUAUUUAUAAAAGAAACAAGAUCUAGGUGAGAUAACAUUCUACUUUCAAUCCUUGUUUGUAGCUUCUUUGUAAUUAUAAUGCUAUUGUGUUGUAAAACAACUAUAUGGUGAAAAUAUAAAUGAAAAAGAUAUUAUUAAUAUUUUGUCAUCUAGGAUGUUAGAUACAGUGGCCAAUCCAGUGCCAAUAUUCAAAGGUAGUUAAUAUCACUCCACCGGUGUCGUGUUGUAACACGAGUAUACUGUGAAAAUAUAAAGAAAGAAGACUUUUAUUAAUGUUCAGUUACCUCGAAUAUUGGGAGCAACGACCAAUUCCAGUGCAAAUACUGAGAGGCUAGGUUCAGUCACCCCGUUACAGUCAGCCGGGGCUUACUGAAAUGCUCCGUUCGAUUCCAAUAACGGGAGUCAGUUGAAAGGGAAAGGACCAAUUCAACGACGGGUGAGCUUGGUUCGAAGAGUCAAUUGGAUCUAAUUUCAAGACAUCCAAUCCAGGUCCUCUUACCCAAUAUGAGACCUAAAUUGGUCGGACAACCCAAUGCGGUCCAAUUGCAGGAACAUCAAGGUCUUACUACGAGGUCUUACUAUGGGCCUCUUAUCCAAUAUGAGACCUGAAUUCGUCGGGUGACUCAAUGUUGUCCUGAUUAUAGGGCUCCGGUUCCGUUUCAGGCUGUUCCGUCCUUUGUGCUGUUCCGGGAACGUCUUUUUGGUAAAAGGAUCUCUUAAAGGUAAAAAUAGAGGAGAAAGCUCUAACGACGGAGCCAAUUCCGGAUCUAAGACAGAAGGAGCCAAUUCGGGAUCGAAGACGAAAGAAGCCAAUUUUGGAUCCAAGACGGAAGGAGCCAAUUCCAGAUCCAAGACGGAAGAUUGAAGAAAUUCAGGGGCUAGGAUUUGAAAGAGGGGAGAAUUAGGAUUAAAGGAGAGGAAGGUUAAGAAAUGGAGGGGGGAGUUUCAAAUCGGAUUUCUGGAUCGAAGAGCUAGCUUCAAGCUCUUUUCAAGGUCACUAGUUUUGUUUCAUUAGGGUUUGUGAGGGGAGAGCAAUCGCUCCUCAAAAUCAGUGUUUAUUUUGGUGUUUUGGAUUUUAUAUAAAACAUUGAUAGUUUACAUUCUCAAUCGGUUUGUGCAAGUCGUGUAGCAUCUAUAGGUCAAAAUUUGGUAUUGUCUGGAUAGUUGGGUGUGAUAAGUGUAUACAAAAAUUUGUGUUAAUCUAACGAUGCAAUCAAGAGAUAUCUGGGUUUUAGUACAAAGGGUUGUUGGAAGUUGGUAGUCUAGGGUUGGAUAGGGUUUCUCUGAUAUUUGAAGGUCUACCAAUUGGAUCAACGUAAUUUUUGGCUUGGUAAUAGAAGAUUUGGAGAUCAAGCGGCUAUUCAAUUUUGAGCUGGAGUUAAUGGUUGACAAAGGAGAAAUCACUUCUCGAGUUUCUACAUCAAAUUUCAAGGUUGCGGCUGAGUGUUAUCAGUGCGGUUUUUUGGACGUUUUCUUGCAAUCUAUAAGUUGGGUUGGGCUGAAAUUUUUUGAGCAUAUAGAAGGCUUAUACUGGUAUUUGGGUGCAAAAUUUCACACUAAGUGGACGGUUGGAUCAAAAGUUACAGCUUGUCAAAGCUCAUUGGCUAGGAUUAAGGCUUGUUAAGAAAAACAAAAAUAACUUAAUUAUAAAAGAAAUAAAGCAAUUGGAAUAUUGUAUGGUUAAAAUGACUAUGAAGAGUGUUUUUAAAUACUUGGAAAUUGAUAUUUUAAUUAUAUUCUUCAUACAUGGAUAAAAUCUAUCAAGGUUUCUUUGUUAUUUGCAAAAACAACUAUACCUUCCACAGCCAGAUAUCCAGUGUAUUCCCGAACAAGACAACAUGUAAUACGACAUCGGCAUCAUCAAACCAAGUACCUUCUGUACCAAUGGGAUAAUCAGGAUCAUUUUCCAACCCUAUAUGGAACAAGUCUAGUAGGUAUAUACUGGUAGAGACACCCAAUUUGUAUGAUGGGGGUGCAGGAAGACCACUUCGUCAUUUCCAUUGCAGACAAGUUGGUUAUUAUGUUAGUGAAUGUUUCAAUCCCAAAGCCAGUGAUGAUUAUGCAGUAGUGUGAAGGAAUUGCAAGAAAUCGAGGCAUACUGAUUAGCAAUGUGAUGCUCCAUCCAAUUUCAAUAAAUGAGAUCAGUAGAUCCAAAGUCCAGAAAAAUUGAAAGAAAUAAAUCAAGGUCCUCUAUAAUAUCUGGAGAUCUACUAUCUAGAAUAAGGUGACUUUUAGCAUGAUAAAUCGAGGACUUUUAGGCGAUAGUCAAGAUACAUCAAUGUGGAUUAACGGUAUUUUUUUGCAACCUAUAAGUUAGAUUGGAUUGAAACUUCUUGAGUAUUUAGAAGGCUUGCAAAGAUACUAGUGGUAGAAAUUUACAACAAUCAGACAGUUAGAUUGAAAAUUACAGCUUGCUAAAGCUCGCUCUCUAGAGUUAGGAUUAAAAAAUAAAAUAAAAUAAAAUAAUAAAUAAAUAAAUAAACAAAAAAAUAAAAACUAACAAAUAACAAAAGACUUUGUGCUUAUAAUAUCUUCAAGUUAUUAAAAAUAUUAUUUCUAAAUACUUUGUAUUGGGAUUAAGCUUUUACAUUGAAAUCCAAAAUAAUUUGUAAUAGAUGGUUGAAACCCACUAGCCUACCUAGAUACUUGUAAAUCAUUAUUUUAUCUUCCAUAGCUACAUGCCUGAUGCGUUCUCAAGCAAGAUAGCAUGUCAUAUGAAAACACUUAGAAGAUGGAGAACCAACAACCAGCGGAUUUGACUCAAUAGCCUUCGUUUACUAACUUAUCAGACAAGACAUUACAAUUGUCACGACCUUCAAGACGAUGCAAUUGAGAUGAAGAUCUUUAAGAAUAAUAUGUUCUUCUUCGAAUAGAUAUCAAGAUAGAAUGCGUUUGAUAUCACGACCUUGGAAGGGACUCUUGAUGUUUGGUGAUUUUACUAGAGGUAGGAAUAAUUCUUGAUGGUGUUCCAAAUAUUUUAUUCGAAGGAAGUUAUGAAGGCCUCAACAAUGAUCAAAUAACUGGAUGGUCUUCUUGCCCUGGUAUGGGAUACUACCGAUAGUUGAGAGGCCCUAUCAAUCAUCUUCAAAGAGAACAAAGUUCAAAGUAUGUAGCGAAUACAAUUCGUCACAUCAUAGAUUUCCUCAACAUAUGAUUAUCUCUCCUCGUGGAACUCGUCCGUUGAAGAAAGGAGUAAUGUCAUGGACAUACACAUAUAAGCCAAUAACUACAUGUAUAAAUAGGUAGAAAUAAAUAAAAGUAUGUAAAAGUAAGUUAAUUCUAUAAUAUUUACUAUAAAAGCUUCUUAGAAGCUCCAUAGAUACUGCUUUGACUUUAUAGAUGUCUUUAAUUGACUUUUUGGAUUCAAAACGUGGUCAACAAGUUGGCCAUGUACCACACAUGGUGUUAGCUUGAAGACCAAGCUAACUAUAUGGCUGACACGUAGAAAAACUUGCCUGGUAAGUCAAGGCAUGUAUCCUACAAAGUCAACACAUAUUAGAGGUCCUAUAGAACGUCGCCACGUAGCGUCUAGUUAGAUAGUAUAUAUAGAGACAAGAAUGAAGCCUUCUUCACUCUUGUCAACUGCUUUUUUGCUUCCAGUCUAGUUUCAAGGGUCUCUAGUUUUCUUGACUUUUUGGCAAUAGCCAUUCUAAUUUCGUUCUUAAUAUAUAUAUCAAGUUAUUUCUAUUUUUUCAUCUUACUUUGAGAGAAGUCUCACUCGUUUAUUUGUCUUUAUUGCAUUCUUUUCCUUAAUACUUAGAGGCUUUAUGUAUACAGAUAUAAUUCUUUAUGUAUUUAUAGUUUAAAAUUUGAUCAACAAGUUGUCUGCAUAUUGCACAUAUUAACAACUUGAAGAAUAAGUUGGUCAUGUAGCACUCAUAUAUGAAACUUACUAUGCAAAUUAAACAUGUGACUUACACGAUAAAAAAUUGUUGAAGGUCUUAAAGAAUGUUAUCAUAUAGUUCCUAAGUAUAUUUUACAUAUGGAAAAAAAAGUAAAGUCUUUUUUACUCUUGUGAAUAAAUAUUUAAAAUUAAGCUCAAUUUUUUUGGAGUAGUGGAUCGCUUCAAAGCACAUCUUGUGGCAAAUAAAUUCAACCAACUUCUAGGCUUAGGCUACAAUAAAACCUUUUUUAAUAGUCAUUUGCAUACAAUCAAUUUGACUCAUGUUUGCUUUAGCAGUUCAACUUGAUUUCUAUGUACAUCAAAUGAACAUUAAAAUAACAUUCUUAAAUAGAUCUAUUUAAGAAGAAAUAUAUAUAUAUAUAUAUAUAUAUAUAUAUAUGUAAAGAUCUUAAAUAAAGUCAUUUUUUUACAACUUGGUAUGGUGUGACCCCUUCACAAAACCAUUUAUGAAUUAAAACAAUCACCCAAGGAAUAGUUCAAGAUAAUCAAUACAUUUCUCAGCUUAUACAAAUCACUCUCAGCUUGUAAAUUGGAAUUAAAUAAAUCACUCUCAGCUUGUAAAUUGGAAUUAAAUAAAUCACUCUCAGCUUGUAAAUUGGAAUUAAAUAAAUCACUCUCAGCUUGUAAAUUGGAAUUAAAUAAAUCACUCUCAGCUUGUAAAUUGGAAUUAAAUAAAUCACUCUCAGCUUGUAAAUUGGAAUUAAAUAAGUCACUCUCAGCUUGUAAAUUGGAAUUAAAUAAAUCACUCUCAGCUUGUAAAUUGGAAUUAAAUAAAUCACUCUCAGCUUGUAAAUUGGAAUUAAAUAAAUCACUCUCAGCUUGUAAAUUGGAAUUAAAUAAGUCACUCUCAGCUUGUAAAUUGGAAUUAAAUAAAUCACUCUCAGCUUGUAAAUUGGAAUUAAAUAAAUCACUCUCAGCUUGUAAAUUGGAAUUAAAUAAAUCACUCUCAGCUUGUAAAUUGGAAUUAAAUAAAUCACUCUCAGCUUGUAAAUUGGAAUUAAAUAAAUCACUCUCAGCUUGUAAAUUGGAAUGAAGAUGGUUAGAGAAGAGUUGUGCAUAUUGGAUGAAAUGUGAGAAGGUUAUGUGUUGGAAAGGAGUGCUUAAUCAUUGAAAUGGCAUUUGCUGCAUGGAAAUGGAAUGAGCCGAAGGAGGUUCGCAUCGAAAGAACUGGAGAAUGGGGUAAUUCAAGAGAAGGGAAAAUCGAGAAGGGGGGCGCGGGGCACGAAAACGAGAGUGCGGAAGGGGAGGAGAAACAAUGGGCAGCGGAGUCGUCAACUGCAGGAUUUGAACCUGCGCGGGGAAACCCCAGCAGAUUUCGAGUCUGCCGCCUUAACCACUCGGCCAAAUUGACACGCGCCACAAUCUACAAUUCCGGCGACCCACGACCAUGCUGGGGAUCGAACCCAGAAUCUCUUGCUCCGUAGGCAAGCGCCUUAUCCAUUGGGCCACACGGUCAGCGCCCCUCGACCGACCACAAUCAGACCCCCCCGCUCAGGGUGGGCCAGGGGCGAAGCGAACUAGGGAGGCCGCAGGGUAGUCACCAUUUCCUUCGGGAGUUUGAACCCGACGUGAAUCGAACACGCAACCUUCUGAUCUGGAGUCAGACGCGCUACCAUUGCGCCACGGAUCCCACGGCGAUGCACGUCUCUCAUCCGGUUCUCAAUAUCAACCCAAUCCCGCCCCAGGCACCACUCACCGCCGCCCCCUCUGACCCCGCUGAGUGGCCCAUGCGCCGUCGCAAAUCCCUUGCCCCCUUCCCCCAGCGCUCCCUUUCCACCGGAUUCUGUCCCGGCUUUCGGUCCUGGGACUGCUUUUGUCCCUCGUUCCCUCCGCGCCACCCCUGGCUGCCUUGACGGAAUCCAUGUAUUUGGCUCCAUCCUGGCUGUAAUCCCACUCCCAGAUGCGCCCACUGUCCAGGUCUCACCAUCACCUUCUUUUCCUCGGAGCCGUUUCUGCAUUUGCCGCCGCUGCGCUCCACCAUGGUUGGGAUGGACCACGCUCCUUCCACGAGCCCCCAAACGUUCACUCCAAUCACCCCACGCAUUCUCAACUCCGCUCUCCGGUCAUGUCAACAACUGUGCACACAUUCAAACAGCUCUAUCCAAAAGGUGACCUUCCUCUCUGUUGACAACACCCCGUUCCACAUGAGGUGACCCGCUCAACCACACCGCUCCGUUGCCCCCAACACCUCCCGCAGUCGCUCACUCCUUCCUCCGACAUCACAAGUGAUGCACACAGCGCACAUCAUCAUCCGCGGGCAAUUCGAGGAUAUGCAACUAGCGUGUCCGUCUAACCAAGUUUAUUGACUGUUUAUGGAGCAUUUGGUUACAUCAAUCGUAUUAAGUGGACAUGUUCAAUCACAUGCUGGUCGUUACAUCGAACCUGAUUUGUUUUCUGCCGCUAGGUUUUCCAUCUGAUUUCGAAGCCCUUGUGGUACUUCUCGGAUGCGUUUGAUCAUGGCAUUUGGUAUGCCUUUCCUUUGCUUGUGUUGGAUUCACAACCAUUUAUUAAGGUAGUUGGUUUGAAAACUGCGUGUUGUGGGACCCAUCUCUUGUUUUGAGAGGGCAGCAGGUAUUUACAGUGAUAGUCCUUUUUGUUAUGAAGUCUAAGAAGUUCAGAUCAUUCAGAGGGAGGGGGGCAAUCAGUUGGGUGGAGUUGUUUGCUUGGCAAGGCUGACUCGAAGCCAGGAUUGGUGUGCCUAGUGCAUCGUCACUUAUCUCUGUAGGCAUGCUCCGGUCGAUGAGUAACCUCGUAAUCGAGGUGAACAAAAGCUCGUUCAAUCUCCAGUAGCGACUCAAGUUUGUCUUGAAGUGAUUCGCCAAUAUCAUGUGCCUGGCGCAGUGGCGUGUCCGCUGCCAGCACAAUAUCGACUUCUGCAAAGUAAUGUCACCCAAAGGUGUAUGCACGGACGGGGUCAAUUUGAGGCAUCUCCUUGUGAUGAUUCCAGCACAGAUAUGUCAAAUUUGACAAUUUGACAAGAGUGCCAAUUUAUUCUUCUUGUCUUGUUUUAAAAGUGCGUCGAUUAUUUCACUUCUAUUGUUGUGUUUGGAAGGUUGUGGGCUACCUACCUUUAAACAAAUGAAUUAAUUUAUUAAUAUUGAUUUUUUUUUAAUGAAAGUGAAUUACUCUUUUUUGUAGAAAUUUUCAUUUGAUAUUAGAAGUUGUCAAUUAUCUUAGUCUAAUUUAAUUUUUUGAAUUUAUUUGAGUUGUCUGUAGAAAGAAAAAUUAUGAAUGCUACUUUUGGUGGAAGUAAAAAUAGAUUUAUAACUAUUGUAGAUCUUCACAAGCUUCUCAAUACUCUUAGGGUAGAAAUUUUAUAUAUUUUUGAUAUGAAUCAUAAGAUAUUAUUUAUAAAUCCAAAGAAGAAGUUAAUAAUGAAGUUUAAAGUCUACACCAAAAAACUAUGUAAUUAAGAGAAGGAAGUAAAUCAAGUUUACAACUAAAUCGAAGGAGUUUUAUUACUAUAAGUGUAAGGGAAGCAAAGAUAAGUAUGCCCAAGAAGUUUGAUAGAACAAGAUAAAAAAUUUGACGAUUUUUACAAUAAAUAAAAAUUUAAUUUAAAGUUUCACCUUUCUCAAUAUCCUGAUGGAUUUACUCAAGUUGGAUUCAUAGAAGUAGUUCAUUUUAAAAUUAUUUUUUCAUGAUUUAUACCUUUGAUGAAAAAAGAUUCAUGACUAUUCUAUGUUUUGAAUUUAUUUUUGAAGGUGUUUAUGAUUAAAUUUUAAAAAAAUAAUUAAAAAAAGAUUGUAGAAAUCAAGAUCAUAUUUCUACAAUAAGAAUCAUUUUCAAUCACUACAUAUGCUACUAAAUUCAAAAAUCUUGCUUGUGACAUGAAUUGGAAUGAUAAAAUCAUUAACAAUUAAUUUUGAUAUGAAUUGAAAGAUAGUGUCAAAGAUACUGAGAGCAAAUUUAUUAGAAAAAUUUAUUCCUCAAGCCAUUACAUGUGACAAUUGACUAUUUGAAAUAUGCUAAAAAAAAAGAUUUGAUUAAAGAGGUACAUGUAAAGAAAUGGCAACAUCUUCAAAGUUUUUGGAAGCUUACUUAUCUAAACCAAAGCCUAUGCAAACUAAUACAAUAUUUUUUAAACUUCUUAUUGAGCAAAAUAAAAUUGGUUGUUAUUAAGAAGAUUUGUGCGUAUAUUACAAAGAAUCCAAACACACUAUUCAACAUUAUCCAAAAAAGCAAUGCAAUCACAAAUGAAAAGCAUGGUUGCCAAAGAAGAUGAUGUAUUAAAAAAUAAAUUUUUUCAGCUACAAUAAAGACUAUGGAGUUAGAAUCUUCUAUAAUAUUUAAAAAAUAUCUUAGUCUCUUUUUAGAUAUUUUGCCUUGUUUUAUAAUAAAAGUUUAUAUAGAAUCAAAAAAUCACAAAGUCUUAUCAUUAUUAGAUUUGGGAGCCUCAACGUGUUAUAUAGACAAAGAUUUUGUUAAAAAAUAAGAGAACUUGUUACUUAAGAAAACUUAAUCCAUACAUGUAGAAGUCAUAGAUGGUCAUUUUUUGUCUCUUAAAAAUAUUAUCCAUGAAUUUUUUUUCUUUUACAUAUAGCAAUUAAUGAUUAUAAUAGUAUAAUAAUAUUUAAUAUAAUAAGAUCUCUCUUUAAUUUGAUUAUUUUAAAUUAUCAUGGUUAAAAAAGUAUAAUCUUUAAAUAGAUUAGAUUUCUUAUAAUCUUAAUUUUUUUUUUAAUUUAAUCUAAAAUUUGUUAGUUAAGUAAAAAUAUAUAAAUUUAGUAGUAAAUAUAAGAGUUUUUAUAUAUGCAACAAAAAAAAGAUCAACUUUUGCUAUAUAUAUCAUGCCUAAUUUUGAUGGUCAAAAGACAUCAAAUGGUAUUCCUAACUAGUAUGAAGAUUUUUAGGAUGUUUUUGAAAAAAAAAUUGUAGAUAUACUAUAAGAACAUCAAUCCUAUGAUUAUUCAAUUGAUUUUCAAGAAGGAAUUCAACCACCAUUCAGACCAAUCUAUAGCUUAUUGUGAAAUGAAUUGGCUAUAUUUAAAAAAUACAUUAAUAAUAACUUGACUUAAAACUUUAUAUGUCAUUCAAAAUCUCUAGCAAGAGCUCUUUUUUUAUUUGUGAAGAAAAAAUAUGGAUCUCUAUAGAUGUGCAUAGACUAUUAAGGACUUAAUAAGAUCACUAUCAAAAAUAGGUAUUUCCUAUCCUUGAUUUUAAGACUUCUUAACCAACUCAAACAAUCAAAGAUCUAUACAAAAAUAGAUCUAUGAAGAGUAUACAACUUGAUCCAAAUCAAAAAAAGAGAUAAGUAGAAGAUUACUUUUUGAACUAAGUAUGGAUAUUUUGAAUAUAAUGUCAUGCUUUUUGGACUUACAAAUACACUAGUUGCUUUUCAACAUUUCAUGAAUAUUAUUUUUUGUGAAUUCCUUAAUUAUUUGAUCAUUUGUUAUUUAGAUGACAUUCUAAUCUAUUCUAAAAAUAUAAAAAUAUGAACUUUAUGUUUGUUGUGUAUUACAAAAAUUUAGAAAUGCAUGAUUAUAUAUCAAAAUAACAAAUUUAAAAAAAUAUAUUCUAUACUAUUCAAGUUGAUUUCUUAGGAUACAUCAUUUUCAACAAAAGACUAAUCAUAGAUCCAAAGAAAGUUCAAACUACCACAGAUUAAAAGAUUGGAAGAACAAUAAGAGAUGUGCAAUGCUUUUUGAACUUUAUCAAUUACUAUUGGAUCUUUAUUAAGAACUGUCUCAAGUUGUAGUUCUACUUAUACAUUUGGCUUAUAAAGACAAAUUUAAGUAGAAUAAAGAAGCCAAAGUAUUGUUUGAUGUUUUAAAUAAAGAAAUUAUUUUUGUACCAAUCUUAUAUUGCAUCAAAUUUUUUAAGGCAUUUUUUAUGGAAAUAGAUGCAUCAAAUUUUGCCUUAGAUGCCAUAUUAUUAUAAAUGGGAGUAGAUGACAAAUUUUAUGCAAUAGCUUUUUAUUCUAAAAAAUUCUCAACAUCAAAGAUCAACUACAUAAUCUACAAUAAAGAACUUCUUGCAAUUAUGAAUUAUUUUUAGGAAUGACAUUAUUAUCUAGAAGGUACUUUUAAUCUAGUCACCAUAUAUACUGAUCACAAGAAGCUUUAGUAUUUCAUGUCAAUACAGAUGUUGAAUCAUUGCCAAGUUUAUUAGAGCAUGUCAUUAUCAAGAUUUGAUUUUAAGAUCAAAUAUCAAUUUAGAAAAUAACAAGAUUUAUUAGACACCUUUUUUAGAAGUUCUUAUAUGGCACCAAAAGAAAAAAAAAUGUAACUUUUGAUUAUCAAAGAAUCAUUCUCUUUAAGCCCGUGCAUUUUCAUCUUCAAGAAAUAAAAUCAAAAUUGAUCCUUGAUUCAACCUUUGUUAAGCAAAUUCAAUCAAGUAUGUCUUUUGAUCUUCUUGUUCAUGAUAUCAAGAAUGCUUUUUGUAAGUCUCAUGAUACUUUUAAGUUUAAAUUUAAAAAAAACCUACUAUAUUUCAAAAGUUGCCUAUAUCUUCUAGAAAACAAAGUACAAUUACGUGUUCUUCAAAUUCAUUACAACUUUCUUAUAACUAGAUAUUUUAGAUAUAAUAAAUCUUUGGAGCUAAUAUUUAGAGAUUUUUGGUAGCCGCAAAUGUAAAAAGUUGUGAAAGACUUUAUAUAAUCAUGUGAUAUUUAUUUAAGGUCAAAAAUUCUUCAUCAUCAAUCUUAUAGAUUUUUUCAAUUAUUGCAUAUAUUAAAACAACCAUGUUCUUAUAUUUCUAUAGAUUUUAUUAUAGAUUUUUUAAGUUCAAGUUCAUAUGAUUAUAUAUUCAUGAUUGUAGAUCAUUUCACCAAAAUAGCAUAUUUUAUACUAUAUACAAAAUUUAUUUUAGAUGAAAAAAUAACUAAGAUUUUCUUGAUAAUGUCUAUUACUAUCAUAAAUUGCCAAAAGAUAUUAUAUGAGAUAGAAGGAUACAAUUUAUAUCAAGAUUUUGAAAAAACUUUUUUAAAAUAUUAAAAGUGGAUAUAAAAUUAUCUUUGAUCUUUUUAUCUUCAAAUUAAUCGACGAAUAGAACAAGUGAAUUAAAUUUUGGAGUAAUAUUUGAGAUGUACCAUCAAUUAUCAUUAAGAUGAUUAGAUAACUCUUUUUCCAUUGGCAAAGUUUACAUAUAAUAUUUUGGUACAAUCUUCUACUUAAUCAAUACAUUUCUUUGUCAAUUAUAAUUAUCAUCUAUGAUUUAAUAGUUUUGACAUUUCAAAAGUUAAUAAUCCUACAACAAAAUAUUUGGCAAAUUAUUUGUCAUAGCUAUAUGCAAUAAUAAAGGUGCAAUUAAAAGAAGCUCAAGAAUGACAAAAAAUAAAUACACAUGCCUAUUGCAAAGAAAAACUAUAAUUCAAUGUGGAUGACAAGGUAUAAUUACUUUGUUACAGUAUGAAAACUACUUCUCCUUGUGACAAGUUGGACUAUCAUAGGCUUGAAUCUUUUCUUAUUUGAGAACAAAUCAAUCUAGUUUCUUAUUGAUUACAUCUACAGGAGUUAAUGAAAAUUUAUUCGAUAUUCCACAUAUCUCUUCUUAAGCCAUAUAAGACAAUAGAUAUUUUGAAAAGACACAAAUGCCACCUCCUUCUAUGAAAAGAAUAAUAAUCAAGAAUUCAAAAUAGAAGAAGUCUUAGAUUCAAGGUGGUACUAAAAUAGAUUAGAAUAUCUUAUUCAUUAGCAUAAAUAUGAUAUAAAUAAACGCACAUGGCAGCCAUCAAAGAAUUUUGUAAAUGUAGCAAAGAUAGUUGAGGCUUUUCAUUGACAACAUCCAUCAAAAUUAAGAUGAAGAAAAAUAAUUUUUAUGAAAGAUGAUGACUGCUCAUCAUAGAAUUUAUUUCUAAAAGAGGAAGUAAUGUCACAAACAUACAUAUUUACUCUAAUGAUUAUUUAUAUGAUUAGAUAGAAUUAGAUAAAAUUAGAUUAAUUUCAUAUUAUAAAGAUUUAAAUUAAAAUAGUAUCAAAGACAUAGUAGAUUAAAUUCAUUAACAAGUCUUGUUUCAAGACUUUUUAAUCUUCUUGUGAUUGGCAAUAGCCAAUUUAAUUGAAUAUUUUAUCAUUUUUAAGUAACAUAAGAAUAUAUUAAAUAUUCUUUCUUUGAGAUUAAUGUCCUUGAUACUAUUUUAAUUUGAAAGUUAAUAAACAUAUAGGUACUAGUUAAUAUUAAGCUUAUAACUAAGCAAGAAGUUUCUAUGUAUUCAGAUAUGUUGAAUCUAAAAUAAAUUAUUAUUUUUUUUAUUUUUUCUUUAGGUAAAAAUUCUUAUAUUGAUUUUUUCAUAUUUUACUUUUCUUCAUAGAUCAUAGUGACUUUAUUAAAAAAUACUUCUAUUUAUUUUCUUUAUAGACCAUGUCAAAGAUAAAGUAGGAUUUUUCUAUUCUUACAAAUAAUCCUAGAUGGUUGCAAUAUGUAAAUCCUAUUAAUGGAUCUUAAUUGGUGAAUUGAUUUAUAAUAUAAUUUUAAGAUAUUUUAAUUAUAGCAAAAUUUAGAUUAAAAUUCUAUUGCUUGUUUAAAUAUUUAUUACAAAUUAAAAGUGUUUUAAGGUUUCAAAAGACUUAUUAGAGAAAAUAUUAUAAAAAUGGAGUCAUAGUUAGUAUUAGAGGCAAUUAUCAUAGUUGAUUUAGUAAUUUUGCUUAAUAUUAAAUAUUAAUAUACCAUAUUGUACAAACCAAAAGGUGAGACUUAUCCAAUUUGUAACUAAGACAUUGCAAAUGCCCUAUUCUUAGCUUAUGGCACCUUUAGUAAACAAUUGUGUUUAUCCUGUUUUCAUGCUUUCAUAUUAAUAUUCCAUCUUGUUUUCACAACUAAGCACACCAAUCCACCAAACCUGGCUUCGAGUCAGCCUUGCCAAGCAAACAACUCCACCCAACUGAUUGCCCCCCUCCCUCUGAAUGAUCUGAACUUCUUAGACUUCAUAACAAAAAGGACUAUCACUGUAAAUACCUGCUGCCCUCUCAAAACAAGAGAUAGGUCCCACAACACGCAGUUUUCAAACCAACUACCUUAAUAAAUGGUUGUGAAUCCAACACAAGCAAAGGAAAGGCAUACCAAAUGCCAUGAUCAAACGCAUCCGAGAAGUACCACAAGGGCUUCGAAAUCAGAUGGAAAACCUAGCGGCAGAAAACAAAUCAGGUUCGAUGUAACGACCAGCAUGUGAUUGAACAUGUCCACUUAAUACGAUUGAUGUAACCAAAUGCUCCAUAAACAGUCAAUAAACUUGGUUAGACGGACACGCUAGUUGCAUAUCCUCGAAUUGCCCGCGGAUGAUGAUGUGCGCUGUGUGCAUCACUUGUGAUGUCGGAGGAAGGAGUGAGCGACUGCGGGAGGUGUUGGGGGCAACGGAGCGGUGUGGUUGAGCGGGUCACCUCAUGUGGAACGGGGUGUUGUCAACAGAGAGGAAGGUCACCUUUUGGAUAGAGCUGUUUGAAUGUGUGCACAGUUGUUGACAUGACCGGAGAGCGGAGUUGAGAAUGCGUGGGGUGAUUGGAGUGAACGUUUGGGGGCUCGUGGAAGGAGCGUGGUCCAUCCCAACCAUGGUGGAGCGCAGCGGCGGCAAAUGCAGAAACGGCUCCGAGGAAAAGAAGGUGAUGGUGAGACCUGGACAGUGGGCGCAUCUGGGAGUGGGAUUACAGCCAGGAUGGAGCCAAAUACAUGGAUUCCGUCAAGGCAGCCAGGGGUGGCGCGGAGGGAACGAGGGACAAAAGCAGUCCCAGGACCGAAAGCCGGGACAGAAUCCGGUGGAAAGGGAGCGCUGGGGGAAGGGGGCAAGGGAUUUGCGACGGCGCAUGGGCCACUCAGCGGGGUCAGAGGGGGCGGCGGUGAGUGGUGCCUGGGGCGGGAUUGGGUUGAUAUUGAGAACCGGAUGAGAGACGUGCAUCGCCGUGGGAUCCGUGGCGCAAUGGUAGCGCGUCUGACUCCAGAUCAGAAGGUUGCGUGUUCGAUUCACGUCGGGUUCAAACUCCCGAAGGAAAUGGUGACUACCCUGCGGCCUCCCUAGUUCGCUUCGCCCCUGGCCCACCCUGAGCGGGGGGGUCUGAUUGUGGUCGGUCGAGGGGCGCUGACCGUGUGGCCCAAUGGAUAAGGCGCUUGCCUACGGAGCAAGAGAUUCUGGGUUCGAUCCCCAGCAUGGUCGUGGGUCGCCGGAAUUGUAGAUUGUGGCGCGUGUCAAUUUGGCCGAGUGGUUAAGGCGGCAGACUCGAAAUCUGCUGGGGUUUCCCCGCGCAGGUUCAAAUCCUGCAGUUGACGACUCCGCUGCCCAUUGUUUCUCCUCCCCUUCCGCACUCUCGUUUUCGUGCCCCGCGCCCCCCUUCUCGAUUUUCCCUUCUCUUGAAUUACCCCAUUCUCCAGUUCUUUCGAUGCGAACCUCCUUCGGCUCAUUCCAUUUCCAUGCAGCAAAUGCCAUUUCAAUGAUUAAGCACUCCUUUCCAACACAUAACCUUCUCACAUUUCAUCCAAUAUGCACAACUCUUCUCUAACCAUCUUCAUUCCAAUUUACAAGCUGAGAGUGAUUUAUUUAAUUCCAAUUUACAAGCUGAGAGUGAUUUAUUUAAUUCCAAUUUACAAGCUGAGAGUGAUUUAUUUAAUUCCAAUUUACAAGCUGAGAGUGAUUUAUUUAAUUCCAAUUUACAAGCUGAGAGUGAUUUAUUUAAUUCCAAUUUACAAGCUGAGAGUGAUUUAUUUAAUUCCAAUUUACAAGCUGAGAGUGAUUUAUUUAAUUCCAAUUUACAAGCUGAGAGUGACUUAUUUAAUUCCAAUUUACAAGCUGAGAGUGAUUUAUUUAAUUCCAAUUUACAAGCUGAGAGUGAUUUAUUUAAUUCCAAUUUACAAGCUGAGAGUGAUUUAUUUAAUUCCUAGUGUUAAAUACUCUUGACAAACUUUUAAUGACAAUUUCUAGUAUUGGCCCCCUCCUCUCUUAUGUUGGCACUACACUCUUUGUAAUAGAAAUUAUUAACAUAGUAGAUAAUCCGUAUCAUGCAAGAAAAUAAUAUAAAAAAAAGAAACAAGGUUGCAAGAGCUUGAAUAAGAAGUCACAAAGUUUGCUUUUGUGAUUCUUAAAAUGAUAUCUUGUAUAUCAAGGAUGGUUGGAUGUCAUGAAGAAAGUUGGAAGUUUUGUGUUGUUCAUUAAGUUUAAUUCUGAUGGUUAAUUAAGUAGAUGGAAUUAAGAUAAAAAACCUAACAUAUUACACUUAGAAGAAAUACAAAUAGAUUUUCACUAUUGAAAGUUUUUGAAUGUGACCUUUGUAAACAAACCUAAUAUAUUGUCAUGGUUAUAAUUAUGUAAGCUAAUAAUUACAUAUAGAAAUAGGUAGAAGUAAGUAAAAGUAGGUAAAAGUAAGUUAAUUCUAUAAUAUUUAAUAUGGAAGCUUCUUAGAAGCUUCCUAGAUGCUGCUUUGACUUCAUAGGUGUAUUUAAUUGACUUUUUGGAUUAGAAACGUGGUCAACAAGUUGGCCAUGUGCCACACAUGUUGUUAGCUUGAAGAUCAAGCUAAUUAUGUGGCCCACAUAUAGAAAAACUUGCCUUGUAAGUCAAGGCAUGUGUCCUACAAAGUCAACACAUAUUGGAGGUCCUAUAGAACGUCGCCACGUUACCCCUAGUUAGAUAGUAUAUAUAGAGAGAAGAGUGAAGGCUUCUUCACUCUUGUCAACUCCUUUCUUACUUCUAGUCUAGUUUCAAGGGUCUCUAAUUUUCUUGUCUUUUGGCAAUAGCCAUUCCAGUUUCUCUUUCAAUAUAUAUACUUGUUUAUAUAUAUUUUGUUACCUCUCUUUGAGUGAAGGCUCACUUGUUUGAAUUAUUUUUUCAUCGAGUUCUUGUCCUUGACAGAUUGAUAAAAGUACACUUACAAUAUCCGAGCUUUGUCUAAUCUUGAUUAAGAGUGGAUUAUCCCUUUUUCUUGAUAAGAUAUAAGCGUAUUAGAAGUUGUGGAUUAUCCUCUUCUAAACUGAUAUUGUCCUUAGUAUUUUCUUUGUCCGCAAGUCCUCUCUUCUAUUUGUCUUGAGAGAUAUUAGAUAUCUUCUCUCUUCUAAGUGUUAUCAUGGCAGAACUUCUUGAAAUGAAGAGUGCAAUGGCACAAAUGCAAGAGCAAUUGAGGGAGUUAAUGCUUGCAAUGCAUCAACUCAAUUUACCACCACAAGGAGCAACAAGAUUGGCAGGAAGUGAAGAUAUAGAAAUGGUUGAUCCUGCUUCAACAUCUGCACCAAACCAUAUCCUUUCUCCUAUGGUAGAACGCCCUUCAAAUGUUAGAGAACCAAGAAUUACCUUACCCGAGAAGUUUGAUGGUAUCAGAUCCAAGUUUCGAGGAUUUAUCAAUCAAGUGCAACUUGUGAUUGAACUUCAACCCCAAAGCUAUCCAACUCCAAGAUCACAAGUUAGAUUCAUUGGUACGCUUCUUUCAGGUUCGGCACUAUCGUGGUUUUCAUCUUUUGUUGAACGACGAGAUCCAAUAUUGGAUAAUCUAGAGGCUUUUUUGGCGGAGUUUCGAUCCAUGUAUGGAGAACAUGAUGCAAUUCAUGUUGCAACCAAUAAGAUCCGUAUUUUACGACAAGAUAAUCGAUUAGUAACGUUAUAUGCUUCACAAUUUCAACAACUUGCAACUAAUAUCAAGUAGGAUGAUGCUGCACUUAUUAGCCAAUUUCUCUACGGAUUACAAUAUGAGGUAAAAAAAUUAAUGCUCAACUUACCUGAUCCUCAAACAUUGAAUCAAGCAAUUGACUUUGCUGUGAAGUGCGACAAUCGCCUUUUUGAAUUCCGAUCUGAGAACCGUACAAGUGGACCUCAAUGUUACUAUAAUUCAAUGGCAACUCCAACAUCUCUUCAAUACAUACAUUCGAAAGUAGACGAUAUGCAAAUUGAUGCAGUAUGUUUCAAACCUCUUACUGAGGAAGAAAAGACUCGUCGUCGUUAAAAAGGAUUAUGUUUAUAUUGUGGAGAACCAAAGCACACUGCUCAAUAUUGUCCAAAGAAAUGAUACAAUCACAAAAUGAGGAGUAUGGCUGUGAAAGAAGAUAAUAUGUCAGAAAACAAAUUUGUCCAGCUACAAUAGGGACCGUGUGGCUGGAACCUUGCACAACUUCUAGCAAAGGUCCUAUUCUCUCCUCAAA
This 40735-nucleotide long non-coding RNA is filed under the name Physcomitrium patens. RNAcentral describes it as "long non-coding RNA (PPAT_LNC004704)". The stretch from base 37522 to 37593 matches the Rfam family "tRNA". The record is from RNAcentral. Lineage: Eukaryota; Viridiplantae; Streptophyta; Bryopsida; Funariales; Funariaceae.